This 468-nucleotide ribosomal RNA is filed under the name uncultured bacterium. RNAcentral's name for it is "partial 16S ribosomal RNA". It matches the Rfam family "Bacterial small subunit ribosomal RNA", at positions 28 to 507 of the family's 1533-position model. The record is from RNAcentral.
GACGAACGCUGGCGGCGUGCUUAACACAUGCAAGUCGAACGGAAAGGCCCUGCUUUUGUGGGGUGCUCGAGUGGCGAACGGGUGAGUAACCCGUGAGUAACCUGCCCUUGAUUUUGGGAUAACUUCAGGAAACUGGGGCUAAUACCGGAUUGGAGCUCCUGCUGCAUGGUGGGGGUUGGAAAGUUUCGGCGGUUGGGGAUGGACUCGCGGCUUAUCAGCUUGUUGGUGGGGUAGUGGCUUACCAAGGCUUUGACUGGUGGCCGGCCUGAGAGGGUGACCGGCCACAUUGGGACUGAGAUACGGCCCAGACUCCAACGUGAGGCAGCAGUGGGGAAUAUUGCACAAUGGGCGGAAGCCUGAUGCAGCAACGCCGCGUGCGGGAUGACGGCCUUCGGGUUGUAAACCGCUUUCGCCUGUGACGAAGCGUGAGUGACGGUAAUGGGUAAAGAAGCACCGGCUAACUACGUG